This is a long non-coding RNA of Frieseomelitta varia, 484 nucleotides long. RefSeq lists it as uncharacterized. NCBI's taxonomy places the organism in Eukaryota, Metazoa, Arthropoda, Insecta, Hymenoptera, Apidae. The transcript has 3 exons. The record is from RefSeq and is a predicted model, not a curated record.
GUCGCUGUCAUCCCACGAAGUUCCUGGAACAAUAGCCGCACAUUGCGAUAGAAACAGUUCCAAGCAACGGGGAACGACUGCUUCGUACCACGGAUGAAUGGGACACCCCGUACAUGAGCGUAUCCAGUUGCGCGUUAAUGUCGACAUUGUACAUUUCGCAAAUGUCCCUCAUCAGCAUGUUCGCGUCGUAUAGUUAUCCAUAAACGUUUCCCGGCGCUAUUAAGCAGCGAUGAACAAAGCUCGAGAGGACAACCAACACGUUUCCAACGAUGACAUCUCCUCGCUGAGGAGAGAUAUUAAGUCAAGUUUUUUCCAACCUCGAGCAGAGUGGAAGUCAUUUAGCUCCUGAUAGGCAAUUCGUUCCUUGUUUUUCGUCUUCCCUCGCAUCACUCGACUCGACGACGCCGAUGCCUCAUGCCACUUAAGAGGGAAGAUACAGGUAGGGCCCAGGUUCGAACAGAUUAUUAAGUUAUCAUCGUUUCGU